Amborella trichopoda is the source of this 1722-nucleotide long non-coding RNA. RefSeq lists it as uncharacterized. The record is from RefSeq and is a predicted model, not a curated record. NCBI's taxonomy places the organism in Eukaryota, Viridiplantae, Streptophyta, Magnoliopsida, Amborellales, Amborellaceae.
UCCGAGGGAAGAAAUUAAAACUUCAAAUCUCAUUUGCCAGCCUCUAUCUCCGGCCUAAGCGAUAAACCAGAGGAGUUGAGAGAGAGAGUUUUUUCUAGAGAGAGUGACGUGGAGACCAUUGGGAGGGAGACGGAGAAAGAGGAACGGGAGGCAUUUUCUACAGCCAAGCAAAAAUCUCUCUUUCUCUCUCUAAGUACUCUCUCUAUCAAUAUUGUCUCUUUCUCUCUCUAAGUACUCUCUCUAUCAAUAUUGUCUCUUUCUGUCUCUAGAUUGCGGCAUUUCUAUGCAUCUUCACAAGCCGGCACGCCAUUACCACACCACUCCAAGCUUUCUUCCAUUUAAAAAGAUAAAAAAAUCUUUGUUUCUAAGACCAGGUCUCUUUGAAAGCUUCUUUAUCUCAUACAUCGAUCGUCAACGUCGAUCUCAGCUUGAGACGGUUCAGAUCCUCCAGCUUCUGCUCUGUACACGUCAUUAAGAUCUGGUCUAGUGCUUUUUAAGAAGCCCAGUCUCCAUUUCCCAUAGGAUUCUUUAGUUGCAGAGAGAAGAAGCACUGUGAUGAUCAAAACAUGGCGUCGAAAAUGAAGUAUUUUUUAGUGUUGAAUACAGUGACUUCUACAAAACAUGUUUUGUAGAGCAUUAGGUGAAGGGACCAGGUCCUGUUCGAAGGCUUCACAUCUCCAUGGGCACCGUCCACCUCAUCUUCUGAGCGGUUCUAAUUUCUCUAGUCCUGCUCUAUAUGUGCUUUUAAGAUCCAUUUGAGCAUAUGAAUGAGCCCUAGGGGUUUGUAGUUGCAGAAGAAGAUAUGUUUUUUAUAUAAAAAGGGCUAGCAAAUGAAAGAUUUUGACAGUUUUGAAUCUCCGGAGCUUACCCCUUUAUUUCAGGGGUCAUGGAGCCAAUCUGUACAAAAAGGUAAUCGAUUCAGAAUCAUGCCACCCCCAAAUGGCUGGAGCCAAGGGCUCCUCAUGUGCCAUUGAAGGGUGUGAUUGCAAGGUCAUGAGCGAAAAGAGACGAGAAGACAUACUCCCUUGUGAGUGCAACAUCAAGAUAUGCAGAAAUUGCUAUCUAGACGCUGUAAAGACAGGCGGGGGUAUAUGCCCUGGUUGCAAAGAGCCUUAUAAGAAUGGAGGUGACUUAGAAAAAGUAGGCCUAGAUUCAGAGAGGCCUAUGCAUUUGGUUUAUGAAUUCGUAUAACGGUGCUAUUCCAUCUUGGUUUUCUGAUGUUGUUUAUGAGUUCAAGUUGCCAACUGAAAUUUCUGCAAUUUUUCUAAGAGAAGAAAAUAACUUAAAGCCAAAGAAGUUUUUGAGGAUGGAAGAGGAGCAAAGACACACUCACUCUCUCCGAUCAACUCUCAGUUCUGCAAUCGCUGCACCUUCGAGACCUCCUCAAAGCUGCUGCCCAAGAACCCAAUUGCACCAACCAUGAAAUCCAAAACACCUCUUCCAGCCUCUUCCAGAAGUGGAACCCGAAGAUGAAUGGAAGACAGGAUAAGAAAGGAAUUGAAUUUCAUUGAGUUAAUUCAAUAAAUAUUUUCCUUAGCCAUCAUCAAAAUCAGAUGGCAUCACCUAUACAUGUUUCUUUUUACUUCAGGUCUUUGCAACUUUGGUAGCAAUCAUUUGAUUCAUUUGAUCUUCUAAUUAAUACGAUCUAUGUAAUCCAUUGUUUCCAAAUCAAUUGUAUCGGCAAGGGUCAUAGUAAUUAUUUGGAAUAAUAUUCAGUCUACA